GUGGGGAAUAUUGGACAAUGGGGGGAACCCUGAUCCAGCCAUGCCGCGUGUGUGAAGAAGGCCUUUUGGUUGUAAAGCACUUUAAGCGAGGAGGAGGCUACCGAGAUUAAUACUCUUGGAUAGUGGACGUUACUCGCAGAAUAAGCACCGGCUAACUCUGUGCCAGCAGCCGCGGUAAUACAGAGGGUGCAAGCGUUAAUCGGAUUUACUGGGCGUAAAGCGCGCGUAGGUGGCCAAUUAAGUCAAAUGUGAAAUCCCCGGGCUUGACUUGGGAAGUGCAUUCGAUACUUGUUGGCUAGAGUAUGGGAGAGGAUGGUAGAAUUCCAGGUGUAGCAGUGAAAUGCGUAGAGAACUGGAGGAAUACCGAUGGCGAAGGCAGCCAUCUGGCCUAAUACUGACACUGAGGUGCGAAAGCAUGGGGAGCAAACAGGAUUAGAAACCCGAGUAGUCC
RNAcentral lists this ribosomal RNA (451 nucleotides) under uncultured bacterium. Its description in RNAcentral is "partial 16S ribosomal RNA". It matches the Rfam family "Bacterial small subunit ribosomal RNA", at positions 354 to 796 of the family's 1533-position model. The record is from RNAcentral.